Molecule: long non-coding RNA, 1618 nt
Organism: Branchiostoma floridae (Florida lancelet)
Lineage: Eukaryota; Metazoa; Chordata; Leptocardii; Amphioxiformes; Branchiostomatidae
Exons: 4
Source: RefSeq, a predicted model, not a curated record
GGAGGCCGAAGUGUCGUGCCAUACGUCUGUCAGCUGUCUGGUCACCUGUCUGAAGCCCCAAGUGUCGCGCCAUUCGUCUGCCGGCUGUCUGGGGUUAAUGACAUAAAAACCUAGUAGCUUCCUAGUGCUUCACAACAUCACGGCCGCUGUGUGAGACCUUUGUGCUUUGAGCGUCCUACCUUAGGCAGUAUCUUAUUGGUGCCAUCAAGCCCGGAUCAACUGCAAAUGCAUGUUCAUGGUGGGACUUAUCCUGGUGACCGGUGAGAGGUUGUCCGAAGCCAUCUCCACGUCUUGCUGUACGGUGACGUCCAGAAAGAUCGGUGCUCGUGUGUACACCCUACCAGCGGACCUGAAACUAAGUUAAGUUCUGUUUUGUCUUACGGGGUGUAAAACGGAAAUAUGUCUUAGAUAUGGGAAGGGGACUAAUUUGUCAUCGGCAUGAUAGGAAGUAAUAGAUAAAUUGCGAGGUUGCUUUAAUUGAACAAUCUCUUGGUUGAUGGUAAGGUGCGUGAGUGUGUUUUGUUGACAUGCCGGGCGAUGUUGCCGGUACGUAUUAGAUAUUUUUGUUAAUUGAUGCUCCUUUUGCAUUUCCGGCCGGCUUCAGUCCGUUUCUGUGUUGUCCAGGCCUGGUGUGUGGCUGGUUUGGUUUCUGUGAAUGUUUCGAUGGCCGGGAUUGUAUUCGGUCAGUUACUGUUAAUUCUGUUCUUUACAAACAGGGUCUUCCCUGGUUCACCAUCUGUUGUCAUUUCUGUUUUAUGUCAUGGUCAGUGGUAGUCGGGAACCUAGACCAUUACAUAAUCUGCCUCGUGUUGUUUUGUUGGGUCCCGAACCAAGAGAACGACACAGGCCAGAAAGGAAGACAGGUGGCUGAAGAGCCAAUUCAAUAUUAGUAGUAUAUUUCUUUAGAAACACUAUCGGCGUCGACACAGUUACAGAAACUGAAUCAGCUAUUCAUUUGGGCUUGUAUAACGUAGAAACAGACUGAAGAAAUGUGUAACGUUACAAAAGUCAACAUUGCUCUCGAAAAUUAAACCAAAACAAAUUUAUAAACGGCAUCAUUACUUGGGAUUUCAUCAAAGCGCACUCAACACCCUGCCACCAAACGAGAGAUCAUGUUUCGCUAUUUCUAUGUUAAACCUAGAACUGAAAUUAUAAUCACAAACCAAGUUAACUUCCUGUCAUGCCCCAUACGCGUAGUUAAGCUCUAUCUAUGAAUUAGGUAUAGUCUCUCAUAUUUCUGAGUCAAGUUUUAAUUUUUGUCUCGUCUUUUCUUCCGAUCGAGGAUCAUCGCACCACACCGUAGGAAGAAAUGUCUGGACGUGGAAAGGAUGGCAAGGACGAGCGAUGGAUGGAAGAUGCCGAACGUUAACAGUCUUCCCACACAAAUAGACAGAAAUGUCUAGACGUAGUAUGCGAGGGACGGAGCUGGAGAAUGGAUGUGAAAGUCACCGGCGUACUGAAACUGCUUCGUGACAACAUCCGGUGUGUCACCCAGCCAAGGGGGCACGAGUCCUCGAGACAUAGACAAGCAAUGUCUGAACGUGCAAAGGGAAUGGUGGGCAAGGGAAGAGCUACAGACACUGACUGUGCUAGACACAACAUCCAGAGAGAGAUCAGA